This is an RNA transcript of Macadamia integrifolia, 987 nucleotides long. RefSeq lists it as uncharacterized. The transcript is spliced from 4 exons. The record is from RefSeq and is a predicted model, not a curated record. NCBI's taxonomy places the organism in Eukaryota, Viridiplantae, Streptophyta, Magnoliopsida, Proteales, Proteaceae.
CUCAAAUAUCUUUCCCCUUUUACUAUAUACACUUUGCUUUUCGUCCUCCCUCUGCCAAUCUUAACUGAAAGGAUAACCUCCAUUAAAAAUCCAGUCAUGUUCUUGUGGGUUCCUUUCAAUUGAGCUGCUACUAUGUCUGGUUUUACAUGAUUUUGCAAUUGGUUUGAAUUGCUCGAAGAUCGUAGUCAUAUUAACUAUUAAAUAUGAAUAUUUUUUUUGUGGAGGGGGUGUUUAAUGUAUGACAUCACGUCCAUGCAGCAGACAAUGAAUGCUUAGCCUUAGAAAGAUGGUUAAAAACGAAGGGCAAAGUUUGGCUUAAAAAAUAGAAGCUACAGGAAAGGCGAGAGAUGAAGAAUAAGGCAGUCUUCCUGACAGUUGUGGAGAAGUGCAAAGUAUCAUCCCUUCAUCGCCCACACUCCACACACGCAUCGACUACUUUUCUUCUUCUUCUUCUUCAUAUUUGGUCUCAGUUUAAUCUUUUCCUUUUGGUAUGUUGUGUGAGAUCUGAGAUGGCGCAGACCAUUUUGGCUUCAAACUGGCAAGGCCGUCUUAAUACCAUCAAAGCUGAUGCUAAGGGAAGAAAGGAAGAAAUUCAUACUUCAAAAAUUAAGUACCUAUUCAAGAAGGGGAAGCCGUACAUUCGGAUACCAUCAAACGAUUUGCACAAUGUGAUUCUUUCUGCAACUUAGAAAGGCAGACUAUUGAAAAGUGAAUCGACUUCGUUUUUACAACUUAGACAGAUCACUAGACAAUCAUCUCAAGAGUUGUGAAGAGAUUACACUGACAGGUUUUAGUCUUGGAUAAUUGGGGCUUGCAUUUGAGAUUUUUUUUUUUUUUUUAAUAUUCUAUCUGAAAAUAUAUUGGAAUUGUACAAUCUAUAAGUGAAUUUUUGGUUUUAUCUUGUUUACAAAUCAGAUCCCCACCGAAGGAAAUCCUUAUAUUCCUUUUUUCAUUAAUGAGGUCAAAAGUCUUUAGCAAUUUUUUUUA